This 254-nucleotide ribosomal RNA is filed under the name uncultured bacterium. RNAcentral describes it as "partial 16S ribosomal RNA". It matches the Rfam family "Bacterial small subunit ribosomal RNA", at positions 524 to 776 of the family's 1533-position model. The record is from RNAcentral.
UACGGAGGGGGCGAGCGUUAUUCGGAAUUACUGGGCGUAAAGGGCGCGCAGGCGGCUGCUCAAGUCAGGCGUGAAAGGCCUGGGCUCAACCCGGGAAUUGCGCUUGAGACUGGGCUGGCUUGAGUGCGGGAGAGGAUGGUGGAAUUCCCAGUGUAGAGGUGAAAUUCGUAGAUAUCGAGAGGAACACCGGUGGCGAAGGCGGCCAACUGGACGAAGACUGACGCUGAGACACGAAAGCGUGGGGAGCAAACAGG